UCCACCCGCCUCGGGCUCCCAAAGUGUUGGGAUUACAGGCGUGAGCCACUGCGCCUGGCCCAGAUGUGUUUUCACAGGUGAAUGUUAUAUUUAGUUUCCCAGAAAAUAUUCAUAAGCACAUCCUUUAUGCCAAGUACUGUCCAGUGAACAGGACAAGCAAAAUAUCCUGCCUUCAUGCAGCAUAAAUUCCAACAGGUGACUGGAACUGAUUUGACAUAACCAUCGUAUGCAUGGAGAAGCUGAGAACAGUAAUCUGCAGAAGCAAAAGUAUGAAACAGCCGGGCAAAGAUGCACAGAGGGGUCAAAGCAUCGUAGAACCACAGAUGUGAAAGAACUGCGGAGAGGACGUUCUCCAGGAGGGACAUCAUUAACUCAACCCGG
RNAcentral lists this long non-coding RNA (381 nucleotides) under Homo sapiens (human). RNAcentral describes it as "HSALNT0371017". Lineage: Eukaryota; Metazoa; Chordata; Mammalia; Primates; Hominidae. The record is from RNAcentral.